This 1492-nucleotide ribosomal RNA is filed under the name Enterococcus durans. RNAcentral's name for it is "bacterial SSU rRNA". It matches the Rfam family "Bacterial small subunit ribosomal RNA". The record is from RNAcentral. Lineage: Bacteria; Bacillati; Bacillota; Bacilli; Lactobacillales; Enterococcaceae.
GGGACGGGUGCUAUACAUGCAAGUCGUACGCUUCUUUUUCCACCGGAGCUUGCUCCACCGGAAAAAGAAGAGUGGCGAACGGGUGAGUAACACGUGGGUAACCUGCCCAUCAGAAGGGGAUAACACUUGGAAACAGGUGCUAAUACCGUAUAACAAUCGAAACCGCAUGGUUUUGAUUUGAAAGGCGCUUUCGGGUGUCGCUGAUGGAUGGACCCGCGGUGCAUUAGCUAGUUGGUGAGGUAACGGCUCACCAAGGCCACGAUGCAUAGCCGACCUGAGAGGGUGAUCGGCCACAUUGGGACUGAGACACGGCCCAAACUCCUACGGGAGGCAGCAGUAGGGAAUCUUCGGCAAUGGACGAAAGUCUGACCGAGCAACGCCGCGUGAGUGAAGAAGGUUUUCGGAUCGUAAAACUCUGUUGUUAGAGAAGAACAAGGAUGAGAGUAACUGUUCAUCCCUUGACGGUAUCUAACCAGAAAGCCACGGCUAACUACGUGCCAGCAGCCGCGGUAAUACGUAGGUGGCAAGCGUUGUCCGGAUUUAUUGGGCGUAAAGCGAGCGCAGGCGGUUUCUUAAGUCUGAUGUGAAAGCCCCCGGCUCAACCGGGGAGGGUCAUUGGAAACUGGGAGACUUGAGUGCAGAAGAGGAGAGUGGAAUUCCAUGUGUAGCGGUGAAAUGCGUAGAUAUAUGGAGGAACACCAGUGGCGAAGGCGGCUCUCUGGUCUGUAACUGACGCUGAGGCUCGAAAGCGUGGGGAGCAAACAGGAUUAGAUACCCUGGUAGUCCACGCCGUAAACGAUGAGUGCUAAGUGUUUGGAGGGUUUCCGCCCUUCAGUGCUGCAGCUAACGCAUUAAGCACUCCGCCUGGGGAGUACGACCGCAAGGUUGAAACUCAAAGGAAUUGACGGGGGCCCGCACAAGCGGUGGAGCAUGUGGUUUAAUUCGAAGCAACGCGAAGAACCUUACCAGGUCUUGACAUCCUUUGACCACUCUAGAGAUAGAGCUUCCCCUUCGGGGGCAAAGUGACAGGUGGUGCAUGGUUGUCGUCAGCUCGUGUCGUGAGAUGUUGGGUUAAGUCCCGCAACGAGCGCAACCCUUAUUGUUAGUUGCCAUCAUUCAGUUGGGCACUCUAGCAAGACUGCCGGUGACAAACCGGAGGAAGGUGGGGAUGACGUCAAAUCAUCAUGCCCCUUAUGACCUGGGCUACACACGUGCUACAAUGGGAAGUACAACGAGUCGCGAAGUCGCGAGGCUAAGCUAAUCUCUUAAAGCUUCUCUCAGUUCGGAUUGUAGGCUGCAACUCGCCUACAUGAAGCCGGAAUCGCUAGUAAUCGCGGAUCAGCACGCCGCGGUGAAUACGUUCCCGGGCCUUGUACACACCGCCCGUCACACCACGAGAGUUUGUAACACCCGAAGUCGGUGAGGUAACCUUUUGGAGCCAGCCGCCUAAGGUGGGAUAGAUGAUUGGGGUGAAGUCGUAACAAGAGCCAGA